This is an RNA transcript of Populus trichocarpa (black cottonwood), 2577 nucleotides long. RefSeq lists it as uncharacterized. The transcript is spliced from 8 exons. NCBI's taxonomy places the organism in Eukaryota, Viridiplantae, Streptophyta, Magnoliopsida, Malpighiales, Salicaceae. The record is from RefSeq and is a predicted model, not a curated record.
GCAAUGACUUUAAUAGAUACUAUUGAUUUCCAAUAAAAGAGAUCUCUUAGUAUACCAUUGAUUUCCUAAAUUCCCUCACCAAAUUUAUUAAACCUUUCUGAUGAUCAGUGCUGCCUUUUUCUGAUUGAAUCAUCUCACCUGGAGUUCAACGUCUUUCUUCCUUCCAAGGAUGUUUGCUGGUUGUUGACGAACUGUAGAAUUUGUACUUGGUCCCUUCGCUUCUGGGCUUCUUUCUUUGAAGGGUACUGCUCCGUACGAUCGAGUUCUCACAGCUUGUAUUGCUACCAACUUCAAUUAUCAUCUCUGUCACACAGCUGCAAGGGCAUUCUUUUGAAGAGACAAUAUCAGAUUAUCAGACCAGAAGGCCACAGAAGAAAAAGGAGAAAAUGGUUCUACCAAAGGGUCCAUUCUGGGAGCAUGUUGAGGAGAUACCUGGCGGUCGUAGGCGGUGUAAGUUUUGUGGGCAUUUAUUAUCCAAUCAAAUUCCGAUCACCAGGUUCAAGCAUCAUAGGUCAGGAGUUCAAAGCGGUGGCGUUACAAUUUGUGACAAAGUUCCACAAGAUGUUCAAGCCACAUUGUCAGCUGCUGUUGAUGGUCCUCCAGAAAAGAAACGUAAAACCACAGCAACGUCAAACAAUGAUGGGGCUUACAACACAAUGUCAACUUCUUUGCUAGAGCAAAACAGUGAAGUUGGAAACGUAGUGACCGAUGCAGAAACGGAACCAGAAUGGUAUUUUUACUCACCUGGAGAACUAGAAUUCGUGCAGAUGAACAUGGGAAAUUUUCAGCUUGAUAGGGUUUGUAGUUUUCCUAGAGACCUGAUCCCUGUUGCACCAGGGACUGCUGUGGGAAGGGAGCAAGUGGAGCAAGAUUGUGAAAGAAAUACUCGGGACAACAUAACUUUUUCCUUGGAGGAUCAUGAUAAUGAGGGCAUGAUCAUGGGAUUGAACCAGCUUGUUGUGAGAGGUGGCUCUCCUGAGAGGCUUACAGCUAAUGAAGAUGAGCCUAGAGGAGAUUCGUCCCAACCAGCAGAUCUACAAUGUCUUGGCCUUGAAAGAAAUUAUGAUCAACAAUGUUCUUCCUCAGUGAACAAUGAUGUCAUGAUGAUUGAUGUGGAGAAUAUGAUUAGAGAACAUGUGCAGCCUGCUGCGAGAGAUAGGUCUCUUAGAGGUCUUCAAUGCAAUGGUGAUGAGAGCAGGGGAGAUUCAUUUCCAGAUAAGAAGCUAGUAGGAGGGGAGUUUGAAGAAAAUAAAAGAAGACAUAUUAGAUAUAGAGACCAGAUUAGAAGUGCAAAUAAUGCAUUAAGAGAAUUAAGACUGAAUAUAAGACGAUUUAAAUUAGAAUUAAGACCAGCUAUAGAUUUUAUGAGAUACUUGACCCCUUAUUGGACUCAAUCUGAGAUAGAUGAAAUUUCAGAACAAAUAGCAGUAUUAAGUAGCAGAAUAGCUGUAUUUCAAGAAAGGAUAGAACACAUAGAAUUCAUGUAUAAUUGUAAUAAUAUAGGAUGAAUACAUUCAGGUUGUCAGCUAGUAAUCUAACCAGUCCAGAGAGUUUUGUUAAUAAUAAUCAGAAGUUUUAUAGUAGUCAAUAUUGCGAGUACACUAGAUAUUGUACGAGGUUUAGUAAUCAUUGUAUAUAGUACGAGAUAUAGGAGGAGGAAACCAAUUAAUGCUUGGGUACAUGAACAUGCAGAACAAUUGCCUGUCCCGUGCUCUAUUUGGGAAGGGUGUAAAGUUCUGAUUGAAACUGGACUGGCCUAUCAGGCAGAAAAAUUGCCUGGGAGCAGCUAGAGGUUUGGAUUACCUCCAUGAAGAGUCAAUAAUAAAAAUUGGGCAUGGGGAUAUCAAAACAAGCAAUGUGUUUCUUGAUAAGGAACUCAAUGCCAAAAUUUCUGAUUUUGGUUUGGCAAAGCUAAAUGAAGAUGGACAGUACCCACAUCGGCACUCGGAUUGCUGGAACCAUUGGUUAUAUGGCUCCUGAGUAUGCAAUGCGUGGCUACUAAACUAACAAAGAAAAUGUUUGUAGCUUUGGAGUUGUUGCUUUGGAAAUUGUAAGUGGUAAGAUCAACAAAAACUACAGGCCAAAGGAUGAGUUUGUUUACCUUCUUGACCGAGCCUAUGUUUUGCAAGAGAGUGGAAGUCUUUCGGAGGUGGUAGAUCCAGAAUCGGGGUCAGAGUAUUCUUCAGAGGAGGCUAUGGUGAUGCUAAAUGUCGCUCUCUCAAGCACCAAAGCAAAUUCUUGUGAAUCUUGUUGCAGCUGAUUAGCCUAUAUGAUGUAGAACAGAGUUAAAGCUGCAAAGAGAAAGGGAGUGAAUGACUCUGGCAGUACCUGAUGGAACAUAAAAUGAUGCUUAUGCAAAGAGAAAUUGGACAUAUACAUUUGUCAAGCAGAAUGUUUGGUGCAUCCAUUAUUGAUCAUGUAGAAAGCAUCAAAUCCUUAUUCGAAAAACAUGGCCAAAUCAAUUUUUUUUGAAGCUUAAUUAUUGAGGACAGACACAAAUCCUGUUUCAUUUCAAUUAAUCAGUUGUAACGGAUUCGGCAUAAUUAUUGCUAAGAUAUUUCUUUUCUUUCCCAUCAA